This 4771-nucleotide unclassified non-coding RNA is filed under the name Hevea brasiliensis (rubber tree). Lineage: Eukaryota; Viridiplantae; Streptophyta; Magnoliopsida; Malpighiales; Euphorbiaceae. The record is from RNAcentral.
CUAAGUUGGUUCUAAGUUUGUUUUUUGAGGAAACUUGCACAGAUUUUCUAACCUUGACCAAUUCACAAGCAUUUAAAAAUCAGAAGUCAGCAUAAGACAUCUGAUUUAUGUAUUGAAGUAGAUGAAAUAUAACACAACCACUAACUAUAGGUUGUACAUAUUGCAUAACAAUUUGGGUUGGCUCAAUUGGUACAUUUGAGAAUAAUCCCAUAUAAAGGGUCAUUAGUUCAAAUGUAGGCCUUUUCCCCAAGAAAAAGAAAAUUACUGAUUAUACAAAAUACACAAACCUAACCUGCAAACCACCAAAAUUAUGGGAAUAACAGGCUAAACAAAGAUUACUAGAUUCUAAUGCUGCAUUAUAAUUGUAACUCCCAGAAUACCCAUUUCUGAAUGCAUCAAUUCAAAAUAAUUUUUGAAGGAAGGUGAAUCCCUGGCAUGUGCUCUUCUGAAAAUAGGCCCUUGCAGCCAACAAGUUUCACAAUAAAAUGAGAACUGAGAUUGUACCUUUCCUUAACUUCCAUAAAUCCCCUGCUAAGGAUUUGCUCCACCCAAUCCUCCACCAUUCUUUUCCUAUUAGAUAAAUAUGAAGCUGCAAGUAAUUGCUCCAUGACUUUUGGGUCAAUGUCUAGGAAACACUCUGAGCCAAUGAUCUUGUGGAAGCUCUCAUUGAUCUCAUUCAAUAUUCUCUCAGCAAGAGCAUCAAAAUCAAAAGGCUUGAAAACCACUAUUCUGUCUACUUGAUCAAAGAAAUCUCGCAACCAAGCCUUGGAGUUACCAGACAUGCAGUCAUUAUCAGAAUUUCCAUCAUCAGUGCCUAGCUCGUCAUUCUCUUCAGCAGGAAGGUUCAAAUCUAGAUUCCUAGCAGAUAUCUUAUGAGCCCGUUUAACCACUUCUGAAGUUUCAUGCUGCUCUAGAUUUUGAUUUGUACCAACAAGCUUCCUUUUAUUCACAAGCAUCAUAGCAGCCAUGCCUUUUCUCUUUGCGAUUGAAAGAUUCAAAAUUUGACCCAUGUUGUCGGCAGGAGCUUGUUCAAUUAACAUCUGCAUUGGCCAGCCCUUUGCUCUCAAUAUUCUUUCCUCAUCAUAGGUAGAGAAAUCCUUCCUGGAAGGGAGAACUUUAUCAUCUGUAAAUGUUGAAGUUGUCACAAAAAUUGCAUUGUUUAUUCCAACUUCUCUUCCAUGUGAAUCAGAAAAUUUACCAGUCCGAAUAGCACGAGACAAAUAAUUCUGAGCCUGCACAUCAGCCUUAUCUACAUUUUCAAGAAAGACAACAGAUAAGGGAUUCUUGCACAGCUCCCCAGCAACAUAAUCAAUCACAGUCUUCCCUCUGAAUAUUACAUCAUAGCCAUGCACUUCUUGGCUGUGUGUGUGAAUCCUCCCAUAAGGUGCACUUAAAUCUGCAGAUAUUAAAUUUUCCUUGCUUCCAUAUAUUAUCUUGGCCAGAGCAGCAGCAAUUUUCUUCUUACCGCAGCUAUCAGGUCCAAGGAAAUUGAACCAUAUAUCCCGUCUCAGACUCGCUCCUUGGCAUCUUUUGUUUGCUGUCCUGCAAUGAGCUAUUGUUUGGCUGAUAACAUGUACAGCUUCAUCUUGCCAGCUAACUUUCUCCCUUAGAGCUCCGAAAAGCGUCUUGAAACUGCUAGGAUCAAACUGCCCACCAAAAUCAAGAGAAGAAGAUGGUGAUGAUUGAGCUAGCUGUUCAGAGAUACUCCCAUUGACAACAUCAACAUUUGGUGAAAGGGAACCUGAUAACUCCUGUGGAAGCUCUCUAUGAUUUUUAUUUACAGAUUUCUUCGGCUCAUUGCUGGUAGAAACAGGGCUUAUUCUCAAGCCCAAAUCUGUUGUCACAGAAGUCACUGAUGCAGGAGAUGCUUGACUUCCAUCAGCCAUGCUUGAAUUGGAAAAACAACAAGGAGAUCUAAGACCACCUGACUCAAGAUCUUCUUUUGAAGGUUUUGCCCAUUGUUUGGAUUGGGCACUCUUGGUGUUCAGCUCAGAAACUACAGAUAAAGGAACACCUAAUUGCUUUCUUGAAAUCUUCUGCACAUCGAUGGGGACAUUCAUGCAUCUACUUUCAUUUGGUGAUGCAAUUUUAUGAUUGCUGCUACACUUAUCAACAUCUUCCUUUUUAUCUUCAGCAAGCUGAAAGCCAACAACAGUUGGAAACCUAGAAGGAUGAAUGUUUGACCCAGGUGAUUGGGUGUGAUUAAGACGCUGGCAUAUGCUAUCCCAUUUUUUUUGCAGGCCUGCAAUUUUGGCACUCAAUACCACUCCAUCAUCUCUUGUCUGCACUGAAGAGAGAACAGCUAGUUUUUACAUAGAUAUGGGAAAGAUUCUUUUUAAUUUCAUUAUGUUAAGCCAAAUGUGCUACAAGCCCAUUCAUGUGACAGAAUUUUAACCAUCAUUUUCUCCCAUGAACAAAAAUUGCUACAUAGUUCUUGUGUAUUACAGGAGUACAAUAUGUAAUGGAACAUAGUCUUUAGACCAAAAGCAUAGAGCUAUAUACGUUUAUCAAUUAUGUAAUGACUAAGACAGACAGACUGUGUAUGUUCACGAAUUCUAUGUUCUACAGGGGCAAUGGAUUCAGGCUAGACAAAUAUGCUGUGUUAUAUCCCAUUUCAGAGGUUUGAUAUGAACAACAAAUUCACAGGUUUAAUUUUCACCAAUUGCUGAUAAUCUUAUCACAGAAUUUCAAUAUGAAUACUAAAUUUCAAUUUGUAUCAUCAAAAUCACUCCACUUAUAUUUUGCUUUAACAUGGUUAUCCUUGCUUAAUUUUUAUAUAGAUUUAACCAAAUUUUUAAUGUAAUGACUAAGAUCUAGCCAAACCAACCAACAGCGACUUUAUUGAAACACAAAUUAAAGUUGAAUGAUUUUGCUUAUAUAAAUUGAAGUUCAACAGCUAUCGUGUUUAAUAAAUAUUAGUGAAAUUACGCCUAAUAUCAUGAUUAAACAUGUGGUCUGCAUUUUUUACUCACAGUAAAUAGAAAGAGGAAAUUCCUCUAUGGAAGACAUAUUUAAAAGCGAAACACACCUUCCCAUCCAAUCCCUUGUUUGUGCCAAGUUCAGUCAUUUUCAGCCAAGAAGAUAAGUUGGAUUGGUACUGAUCUGCUACUGAUGCAAUAAAUCCACCUUUUGAAACAGCAAGUACUUCUUGUUCACACCUCUCAUUGCACAUAUGACAGCGGGAUAUGCAUGGGUUAGAGCUGCUUAAGGAGCUAUUCAACUCUGAAGGUGUAGAAAAGAACCCACCAAAUGGAACAAAUGAUUCCAUCAAGCUGGACUUUGGGUAAGAUUCAACCAUGGAAUUUCUGAAAGAAGUGAUUGGCAAAAGCUGCAAAUCCCAGUCCUUUUCAAUGGAAGGAAAUCUGCUAACAAACUUCAAAUAACCCUCAUAACUUGCUGUUGCACCUAUAAACCACACUUUCCUUCCAUGUAACUGCAACAACCUUGUCAAUUUUUCAACCAAAUAGGUCACUGAAUCACUCAAACUAUUACCAUUACCAUUACCACCUUCACCACCAACAAAUGCCUUCAAGUCCCCCAGAUUCACCACCAACCCAGGUCCCAAAUUUUGUUCCGCAAAUCGACCGACCUCCGCAAAUCUCAAAUCCGCAUACCCUUUAUCGAAAUUCUCACUUAUAAACUUUGAAAUAUCACUUUCAAUGCAAGUCACAGUUAUUCCAGAUAACUCCACAGGCAAAAUGUUCUCUUUUCUUUUCUCUAUUACCUCACUGAAACUUGCUAGUGUCUCAUACGCACAUACACCAACAAGCAGGGGGUUUCUCCCUUUGUUUCUCACAAGCACCUCACCUAUCCUCCGACAAUUCUCAUCUCCGUUGAAAGACCCAGUAAAACCCGGAAAAGGAAAGCUAAAACCCCUCCUACCAGAACCCAUAUCCGGAUUAUCACUCAAGUUACAGAGAAACAUAGGAGGGCCUUUAAACCGCGAGAAUUUGAAAACUUGCGUAAGGGGCCGGACAAUAGCAAGCUUGAUUUCAGAGCCCCGGAAACCCGCUUCUCCGAAAACCCGACUCACAACCGGGUCAUCGAGUAUCGAUAAAAUCAAGUUCUGGAGCUCCACUUUUAUGCACGACAUUGAAGUAGAGGAUUGCUGCUGCGAUAUUUGGUGAUACAAAUGGAAAUUCUCUGGCUGCCUCCUCUGGUUCGCCUGAGACCUUUUUAUUGCCGCCAUGAGCGAGUUGGACACCGGUGGGUCAUCACUUAGCUGACUCGCCGGAACCCUGUCAAGCGAAACGCUAAGACAAAGCUCAAGAGCCUUGAAUUGAAGGCGAGGCGAGUAAGCCGAGUUUCUAGCACGCGCACAAGCGUCACGUAGAAUGGACGAAGGCAGAGCAAGCAAAGCAGAUACAGCAUGAAGCGACGUCGUUUGUCCAUGUCCUCUCCGGCGCGCGACACUCACUGCUUCAUCUAGCGCGUGAGCUGCUUCAGGUGUCAAGCAUUCCCUAGCCGUACUAACCGGCGUAGGCAUCGCCGGUAAACAAGUUAAAAGAAACAAAAAAAUUCGUUACAAAGUUUGUUAUUUCGUUUUUUUUCCUCCCCCUUUUCUUUAAAUGUCUUUGUUUAUUGAACAAACAGAACAAAAACAAAUAUAGAUUUUAAAAAAAGAGAGAACAAAAGCUCAUAAAAAAAGAGAAAGAAUCAAGAACUUGUUGGCGGUAUGAGAGUUCUUUUCUUCAAUAAAAAAAAAACUUAAAUAUUGAAUGAUGGCUACUGGAGGUGGUGGAGUUGAGGUGGUGGAGGUGGUGGUGGUGGU